RNAcentral lists this ribosomal RNA (484 nucleotides) under uncultured bacterium. RNAcentral's name for it is "partial 16S ribosomal RNA". It matches the Rfam family "Bacterial small subunit ribosomal RNA", at positions 30 to 507 of the family's 1533-position model. The record is from RNAcentral.
AUUGAACGCUGGCGGCAGGCCUAACACAUGCAAGUCGAGCGGAUGAAGGGAGCUUGCUCCUGGAUUCAGCGGCGGACGGGUGAGUAAUGCCUAGGAAUCUGCCUGGUAGUGGGGGAUAACGUCCGGAAACGGGCGCUAAUACCGCAUACGUCCUGAGGGAGAAAGUGGGGGAUCUUCGGACCUCACGCUAUCAGAUGAGCCUAGGUCGGAUUGGCUAGUUGGUGGGGUAAAGGCCUACCAAGGCGACGAUCCGUAACUGGUCUGAGAGGAUGAUCAGUCACACUGGAGCUGAGACACGGUCCAGACUCCUGCGGGAGGCAGCAGUGGGGAAUAUUGGACAAUGGGCGAAAGCCUGAUCCAGCCAUGCCGCGUGUGUGGAGAAGGUCUUCGGAUUGUAAAGCACUUUAAGUUGUGAGGAAGGGCAGUAAGUUAAUACCUUGCUGUUUUGACGUUACCAACAGAAUAAGCACCGGCUAACUUCGUG